UUUCCGUAGGUGAACCUGCGGAAGGAUCAUUAUUGAACAAACCUGAUGUGGUUGUAGCUGGCCCUUUCGGGAGCAUGUGCACACCCGUCGUCUUUAUCUUUCCACCUGUGCACCUUUUGUAGACCUGGAUGUAACACUUUCCGAGGCAACUCGGUCGGGAGGAAUGCUGUCAGCUUUCCUUGAAUGUCCAGGCCUAUGUUUUCAUAUACCCCAAAGAAUGUAACAGAAUGUAUUAUUGGGCCUUGUGCCUAUAAACUAUAUACAACUUUCAGCAACGGAUCUCUUGGCUCUC
RNAcentral lists this unclassified non-coding RNA (292 nucleotides) under plant metagenome. Its description in RNAcentral is "partial contains small subunit ribosomal RNA, internal transcribed spacer 1, and 5.8S ribosomal RNA". The record is from RNAcentral.